CGGGGGGAGCAAGCGUUGUUCGGAUUUACUGGGCGUAAAGGGCGCGUAGGCGGCCGACCGCAACGUCGACUGUGAAAUCUCCGGGCUUAACCCGGAAAGGUCAGCCGAUACUGCGGGGCUAGAGUGCCAGAAGGGGCAACUGGAAUUCUCGGUGUAGCGGUGAAAUGCGUAGAUAUCGAGAGGAACACCUGCGGCGAAGGCGGGUUGCUGGGCUGACACUGACGCUGAGGCGCGAAAGCUAGGGGAGCGAACGGGAUUAGAUACCCCGGUAGUCCUAGCCUUAAACGAUGAAUGCUUGGUGUCUGGGGUUUUAUAGUCCCCGGGUGCCGUCGCUAACGCUUUAAGCAUUCCGCCUGGGGAGUACGGUCGCAAGACUG
Molecule: ribosomal RNA, 377 nt
Filed under: uncultured organism
Description: bacterial SSU rRNA
Rfam family: Bacterial small subunit ribosomal RNA
Source: RNAcentral